UUUGUAGUAGUGUUCACUAAGUUGCAUGUGCAAGUGAGUGGAACAAAGAGGGCUUGGUUAGGGGAAAGAGGUGAAGUUAGAGAUGUUAAGUUGCUUGGUUUCGCGAUCAUGGGACGGGUUAUGGAGAAUAGAUCGCUUAUCGAAGCUAAGUCGAGUUGGUCCGGACCCUUGGCUCGAAAGAAGGCGUAGGUUUGGCAAGAGGGUGUGGUUUGGUUAGGAUUGCAAGCAUAGCCAGUGGUGUUUGGAGGAUGCAAUGAAUUGAAGUCACAUGGGUCCAUUCAAACUUAGUUGGUGCAAGAGAGGAAAUUCUUGGUCAAACAUGAUGCUAAAGUCCACCAACAGUAAAUAUGUGUGACAAAAGUACCUAUUUUCAACAGCGGAGUUUGCAUGCAAGGUAACUCUGAUUUUCUACAUGGUGCGGAAUAAUUUAAGUGUAUGAUCCAAAAGUGACAAAAUACAUAUUAUAUAUAUUGUAUUAGCAACUUAAGAAACUUUCCAUUUCCGCUUUCUAACAAUGAUUCUGAAGCCAAGCAGGACUGCCUUAUAGUUAGUCCGAUCAGAGAAACACUCUCAAGUGUUGAGAUCCUUUAUUACGGCCAAUGUUUCAGCCCUACAAAUCUCAGUUUGAGAGAGAUUAGUGAAGAGGUGACCUUUUUUUAUGUAAUUUUACAAUACCAAUGCAUCAAAUUAUACGAUUUUAGAGUUGCAUGCAUGCAUGAGUGUAUUUUUAUUUUGUUGAUUUUAUUAUAUAAUUGAAACCCCUCCACUUGAUGUAUCACAUUUUAGCUUUCUAAAAAAGCUUUUGUAGCCAAGCAGGACCAACACAUCAGCCCGAUCAAGAAAGAACAAAAGACUAACACUAACAGGAACAAAGUGGGCCAACGAGGGAAGUUGGGGUUGCAACUGCCCUUUAGCAUAUCUAUAUAAUACGCGAAUAGUGUCUUAAAAAAAUAUUUUUUCUCAACAGAACUUGCGGAGCACUUCAACUUAUAGAAAUGAAGUAAUUUUCGAAGUUGACGAUUACGAAAGCCAAGGUAAGAUAAACUAAACAGUAGAGAUGGAGACGUACAUGUUUCAUUGUUGUAAUAUAGUUAUGCUUUUUUUUCAUCUCAUCCGAGUGACAUGGAACAAAAGUAGCAAAGGAUAAGUGGAAAUGGAUACAUUUACAUGGAGCAAAAGUAGAUCCGAAUGAAACCACAAACUAACUUGCCAUGGUAAUUUAUUUUAUUAAAUAUUCUACUAACCUACUUCAUUAAAUGUAAUCAACAAUGAAUUUUGUUUUCUCGUGGGAUGUGUAUUUUUAUGUUUAUUCUAUUUUUUAGAAAGAUAGUCUCAUAGUUGAAAAUUAGUUUUUUAUGGACCAGUCGGGGUUAACAUCAACAUAUAAACUUGACUAGGUAAAUGACCCUAUUACUUACUACUUAAUUUAUAUUAUUAAGUAGUAAUCAAAUCUUUUACUUUUUUUUGGUUUCCAUGUAAGAUAAACAGGUUAAACCCAAUGCACGAUGAGCAACAGGUAAAGUUUAUCUUUCAUAUAUAUAAAGACACACUGUGACAGGGCUGAGAUAUCGACAAUAUCGAUAAUUUUGCAUAAUUUUUUAAUCAUUCCAUUUUUUGUCUUUCAUGCAAGAUGAUCGAGAUUCUAAACACUAAGAAUGCUGACAUGAUGGGUUGGCAUUGCUCAACGGCCUAGGUUUUGGUAAGAUUAGAAAACCAAUCAUUUGAGUAAAUUCAGGAGCACAUUUAUCCUUUUUACAACUCAUCCUAUAUUUGCCAUGUAUUUAAAUACCCUGGCAUAAAGGCUUUUGAGAAUGCUUCACUAAGGGUGAACUUAUCUUGGCACGGUGGGAUAUAUUAUCACAUAAGAACAUUUAAACCAUGCCACAUGUUGCCCCCUUGCUACCAUAUAUUAGUGUUGAUACUUUGACAAAUGGGCACCAUGCAUCAAGUCAACAAGUCAAAAAAAGGCCAUCUUUGAGGUUAAAGAGGACGAUCCAAAAGCCGAAAAAAUUGAGGGAGUAAACCAUGUUUGACUAUUACAAAACUUUCCCACAUUGUUGCCUACCGUUUACUUUUGCAUUAAAAUAACAUCAUUUCAUGUUUUGUCACUCUAUCACUUUUAUUUUAUAUUGUUGUGUGGUUGUACACUAUUCACGUUCGUUUUCCUUUUAUAAAUUAAAAAUGGUGCUUUUGU
Molecule: long non-coding RNA, 2194 nt
Filed under: Helianthus annuus (common sunflower)
Lineage: Eukaryota; Viridiplantae; Streptophyta; Magnoliopsida; Asterales; Asteraceae
Description: hypothetical non coding rna
Source: RNAcentral